This 288-nucleotide long non-coding RNA is filed under the name Lupinus angustifolius (narrow-leaved blue lupine). RNAcentral describes it as "long non-coding RNA (LANG_LNC001067)". Lineage: Eukaryota; Viridiplantae; Streptophyta; Magnoliopsida; Fabales; Fabaceae. The record is from RNAcentral.
CCUUCGUGGGUUACUUGUAAAGUGUCCUACAUAUGUUUGGCUCUAUCACAUUGAGAAAUCCUGAAGAACUCAUCGUAUAAGAGUGCGGAGGUUAUAAUAUUUUUCGAUUUCAAAUCAAGCUGCACUUUUCUCUUUUCCUCGUUGGUCAAGAGACUUCUAGGUUUCUCUUUGGUUUCUCCAUCCACCAUGUAUAGUGAAAUGAAAGGUCCAUACACUGCAGCAUCCCAAACAUUUGUAUCAAUAGCCUUAAUAAAUAUCCUUAUUCGGAUUUUCCAGUAGGCGUACCUC